CGGAGAGUUGGCUGAGUGGUCGAAAGCGCCUCCCUGCUAAGGAGGUAUAUGGGUAACUGUAUCGAGGGUUCGAAUCCCUCACUCUCCGCCAC
RNAcentral lists this transfer RNA (92 nucleotides) under SAR86 cluster bacterium SAR86B. Its description in RNAcentral is "tRNA-Ser". It matches the Rfam family "tRNA". Rfam says of the family: Transfer RNA (tRNA) molecules are approximately 80 nucleotides in length. Their secondary structure includes four short double-helical elements and three loops (D, anti-codon, and T loops). Lineage: Bacteria; Pseudomonadati; Pseudomonadota; Gammaproteobacteria. The record is from RNAcentral.